This is a long non-coding RNA of Zalophus californianus (California sea lion), 552 nucleotides long. RefSeq lists it as uncharacterized. NCBI's taxonomy places the organism in Eukaryota, Metazoa, Chordata, Mammalia, Carnivora, Otariidae. The record is from RefSeq and is a predicted model, not a curated record. The transcript is spliced from 5 exons.
GGGGUGUCAGCGGCUCCCCAGCGGGCAGGCUGUCCCCAACGUUGCAGGACGUGUUAGCCACCAUGUGCGGCUUGCGGCGCGACAGGCGGAGCGAACCUUAGGCACAAGUCACCUUUUGUAUCGUCCAGCAGACUCUCCUCAACAAUGAUUACAUCCCUGGGAGAAGAGAAGAAAUCAUGGAAACAGGUGCGACAGUGUUUUAAAUUGUGAAGCACGUGGAUUGCUUUUCAAAAUAAAUGCAUUUGGAAUCCCGCAGAGAAAAUUCUAACCAAGUUGGAACCAUCUAAAAUACAAAUUCUUUCAUUCAGCAAACACUGGCAGAUGUCCUUGGGGGACAGGAGAUGGUCUGCAGUGUUGUAUCUCCCAUCCAACCUGGCAUAGCCUUUUACAGCCCUGCAUGGAGGCAGCCCUGGUCCUGGACUGAAGACCGUCUGGAGUAGAGCCAUAGUCAAUCCAUGGUGGACAUGCAGCAUGAAUGAGAAACAAACCUGGGAUGUGAUAAGCCACUGAUAUUUUGGGGUUGAUUGUUUCUGCAGCAAAACCUAGUCUAUC